UAAAUUAACAAUUUUUGAAGUCACAUUAUUUGUUGAUCACAAUUCAUAUUUUUCAUUGGUCAUAUAUUGUUUAUUGAUCACAAAUUAACCAAUUAAUGGUCAUAAUCAAUCAAAUAAUUUGUGAUCACCACCAACAUUUGCGACCACCAUCUCACCACUACCUCCAACAGCACCACCACUACCGUCAUCGCCAAAACCACCAAAACCACGUCCUUACAACAACCCCACCACAUCCACAACCAUCACAUCGCUUGCACCACAACUAGUUGUGACUACCACCGUCAACAACGCCAAUUUGCCACCACACCACCUAACCAGCACCAAAGUCUAUAAGCACCACCACCAAUAAAAAAAUCCCAAAAACCAAUAAAAUCCGACUACAUCCACUAAUAGAUGAACCACCACUUCUGGUGCCACCAUCACCAUCAAUACCUUAUCACAACCGCCAGCAGUACCAAUACCAUCACCACCACCUCACCAUCACAUGCUACCAUUGCAUGUACCAACCAUCGCAUUUGCUAUCUCCUCAAAUCCAUUAUGUCCACCUCUACCACACCACAACCAUCACCAACAACAACAAUAUUCCCAAACAAGCUAUCACCACCUACACUUACAGCACAAUCACCUCUACCAACUACAAAAUUUCUAAACAAGCCACCGCCACCACAAAAUCAAAAGAAGAGUGAAACGAAGCCAGGUGGCUAGAAGGCCGACGAGAGGAAAAUGUAGAGGAAAUUUCGAUCUACCUCUGACUGCUUGGCGAUGGAGGUAAGUUGUCGAAGACCUGCGCACCACCUAUGGAGGUUGCCUAGGUGAUAAAAGAGAGAAGAGAGAAGGAAGAGGUAGAUAGAGAAAAGGAAGAGGAAAA
This 868-nucleotide long non-coding RNA is filed under the name Olea europaea subsp. europaea. Lineage: Eukaryota; Viridiplantae; Streptophyta; Magnoliopsida; Lamiales; Oleaceae. The record is from RNAcentral.